CCUACGGGGUGCAGCAGUGGGGAAUCUUGCACAAUGGGGGAAACCCUGAUGCAGCAACGCCGCGUGAGGGAAGACGGUUUUCGGAUCGUAAACCUCUGUUCUUAGAGAAGAACAAUGACGGUAGUUAAGGAGCAAGCCACGGCUAACUCCGUCCCAGCAGCCGCGGCAAUCCGCAGGUGGCAAGCGUUGUUCGGAAUUACUGGGCGUAAAGGGUGCGCAGGUGGGAAGCCAAGUCAGCUGUGAAAGCAUCGGGCUUAACUUGUAGACUGCAGUUGAGACCGGUGUUCUUGAGUGAAGUAGAGGUGGGCGGAAUUCCGAGUGUAGCGGUGAAAUGCGUAGAUAGUCGGAGGAACACCAGUGGCGAAGGCGGCCAACUGGGCUUUAACUGACGCUGAGGCUCGAAAGUGUGGGGAGCAAACAGGAUUAGAUACCCCGGUAGUC
RNAcentral lists this ribosomal RNA (441 nucleotides) under uncultured bacterium. RNAcentral's name for it is "partial 16S ribosomal RNA". It matches the Rfam family "Bacterial small subunit ribosomal RNA", at positions 338 to 795 of the family's 1533-position model. The record is from RNAcentral.